RNAcentral lists this ribosomal RNA (437 nucleotides) under uncultured Clostridium sp. RNAcentral's name for it is "partial 16S ribosomal RNA". It matches the Rfam family "Bacterial small subunit ribosomal RNA", at positions 341 to 792 of the family's 1533-position model. Lineage: Bacteria; Bacillati; Bacillota; Clostridia; Eubacteriales; Clostridiaceae. The record is from RNAcentral.
ACGGAAGGCAGCAGUGGGGAAUAUUGGGCAAUGGGCGAAAGCCUGACCCUGCAACGCCGCGUGAAGGAAGAAGGCCUUCGGGUUGUAAACUUCUUUUAUCAGGGACGAAGAACGUGACGGUACCUGAUGAAUAAGCCACGGCUAACUACGUGCCAGCAGCCGCGGUAAUACGUAGGUGGCAAGCGUUAUCCGGAUUUACUGGGUGUAAAGGGCGCGUAGGCGGGGAUGCAAGUCAGGUGUGAAAUCUAUGGGCUUAACCCAUAAACUGUAUUUGAAACUGUAUCUCUUGAGUGUCGGAGAGGUAGAUGGAAUUCCUAGUGUAGCGGUGAAAUGCGUAGAUAUUAGGAGGAACACCAGUGGCGAAGGCGAUCUACUGGACGAUAACUGACGCUGAGGCGCGAAAGCGUGGGGAGCAAACAGGAUUAGAUACCCUGGUA